RNAcentral lists this long non-coding RNA (246 nucleotides) under Citrus maxima (pomelo). Its description in RNAcentral is "long non-coding RNA (CMAX_LNC000637)". The record is from RNAcentral. Lineage: Eukaryota; Viridiplantae; Streptophyta; Magnoliopsida; Sapindales; Rutaceae.
UUUUCUGUGGAAGCCACCUGGAAUUUUUUUCAGGAGUCUCCUUAAGAUCUUUUGAAUUCCCUUCUGUAGGUGAUCUCAGAACCUUUGUUCUCUAUUAUUAUCAAUCCUUAUAUGCCUUCUUUGGGUUUGUUCGCGUGAGUUCUGACCUUUAUUUUAGUGGGCCAAUUUGUCUUUCCACCUGUUCUUUCCAUUCUAAUAAGGAAUAAUCUAGAAUAAUUCACAAAUCUAAAUCAGCUAAUUGUUCCU